RNAcentral lists this ribosomal RNA (497 nucleotides) under uncultured bacterium. RNAcentral describes it as "partial 16S ribosomal RNA". It matches the Rfam family "Bacterial small subunit ribosomal RNA", at positions 28 to 507 of the family's 1533-position model. The record is from RNAcentral.
GAUGAACGCUGGCGGCGUGCCUAAUACAUGCCAGUCGAGCGAACAGACGAGGAGCUUGCUCCUCUGACGUUAGCGGCGGACGGGUGAGUAACACGUGGAUAACCUACCUAUCAGACUGGGAUAACUUCGGGAAACCGGAGCUAAUACCGGAUAAUAUAUUGAACCGCAUGGUUCAAUAGUGAAAGACGGUUUUGCUGUCACUUAUAGAUGGAUCCGCGCCGCAUUAGCUAGUUGGUAAGGUAACGGCUUACCAAGGCAACGAUGCGUAGCCGACCUGAGAGGGUGAUCGGCCACACUGGAACUGAGACACGGUCCAGACUCCGACGGGAGGCAGCAGUAGGGAAUCUUCCGCAAUGGGCGAAAGCCUGACGGAGCAACGCCGCGUGAGUGAUGAAGGUCUUCGGAUCGGAAAACUCUGUUAUUAGGGAAGAACAAAUGUGUAAGUAACUAUGCACGUCUUGACGGUACCUAAUCAGAAAGCCACGGCUAACUACGUG